GCCGAACAGCUAGCUCACCCAAAGAUAAAUCAACAUACCACAAUUAAUACCCCUAAAUACACAAGCGAUAAACCUAAAUAAAUCAUUUUUCCCCCUAAGUAUGGGCGACAAAAAAGGGACUACGAAGCAAUAGAGACAGUACCGUAAGGGAACGCUGAAAGAGAAAUGAAAGAACCCAGUUAAAGCAUAAAAAAGCAGAGACUAAAACUCGUACCUUUUGCAUCAUGAUUUAGCCAGUGAACCCCAAGCAAAAUGCUUUUUAGUUUGAAAACCCGAAACUAAGGGAGCUACUCCAAGACAGCCUGACAAUAGGGCGCACCCGUCUCUGUGGCAAAAGAGUGGGAUGAGCUUUGAGUAGAGGUGAUAAACCUACCGAACUUAGUUAUAGCUGGUUGUCCGGAAAAUGGAUACAAGUUCAGCCUCCCGGCUUCUCCAUUCAUCUAAGUACAGACCUUCCCUGAUACCCACAAGAAACCGUGAGAGUUAUUCAAAGGGGGUACAGCCCCUUUGAAAUAAGACACAACUUUCCACAGGAGGGUAAAGAUCAUAAUAACCCAAGGUAUGCAACUCUCGUGGGCCCGAAAGCAGCCACCCCCAAAGAAAGCGUUUAAGCUCAAAGCAACUCCAUACCCCCCCCCGAUCCCGAUCACCUAAUCCCACCCCCCUAACUCUACUGGACCAUCCCAUGCAAACAUGGGAGUGACAAUGCUAAUAUGAGUAAUAAGAGAGACCUAAGUCUCUCUCCCUGCACACGUGUAAAUCGAAAUGGACUCCCCACCGAAACUUAACGGCCCCAAACAAAGAGGGCACUGAACAACAAACCAAACAACAAGAAAUACCCCCAACAACUAACCGUUAACUCAACACAGACGUGCUCCUAGGGAAAAACUAAAAGGAGGGGAAGGAACUCGGCAAACAAAGGCCUCGCCUGUUUACCAAAAACAUCGCCUCUUGCAACACUGAUGAAUAAGAGGUCCCGCCUGCCCUGUGACUAUAAGUUUAACGGCCGCGGUAUUUUGACCGCGCGAAGGUAGCGCAAUCACUUGUCUCCUAAAUAGAGACCUGUAUGAAUGGCAUAACGAGGGCCUAGCUGUCUCCCCCUCCCAGUUAAUGAAAUUGAUCUUUCCGUGCAGAAGCGGGAAUAUAACCAUAAGACGAGAAGACCCUAUGAAGCUUUAGAUAAAAGGUAGAUCAAACUACAACAUCCCCAAAACAAAGGGCUGAACCAAAUGAUUUCUACCCUAAUGUCUUUGGUUGGGGUGACCGCGGGGAAAUAAAAAACCCCCAUGUGGAACGGGAGUAUUACUCCUUUAACUAAGAGCAACAGCUCUAAUAAACAGAAUUUUUGACCAAUAAGAUCCGGCAACGCCGAUCAACGGACCGAGUUACUCUAGGGAUAACAGCGCAAUCCUCUUUUAGAGACCAUAUCAACAAGAGGGUUUACGACCUCGAUGUUGGAUCAGGACAUCCUAUUGGUGCAGCCGCUAUUAAGGGUUCGUUUGUUCAACGAUUAAAGUCCUACGUGAUCUGAGUUCAGACCGGAGUAAUCCAGGUCGGUUUCUAUCUAUGAUAUACUCUUCUCUAGUACGAAAGGACCGAAAAGAAAAGGUCCAUAUAUAAUACACACCUUCUCCCCACCUAAUGAAAACAACUAAAAUAGUUAGGGGGUAUACCUAGCCGCCAGAGAAAAUGGCA
This 1695-nucleotide ribosomal RNA is filed under the name Pseudaphritis urvillii (congolli). RNAcentral's name for it is "16S ribosomal RNA". The stretch from base 99 to 1618 matches the Rfam family "Bacterial large subunit ribosomal RNA". Lineage: Eukaryota; Metazoa; Chordata; Actinopteri; Perciformes; Pseudaphritidae. The record is from RNAcentral.